CGGGCGAAGGUUUCAUGAUAUGCGAGUGCUCUGAGGGUGUCUAUAUGCCACCCUGUAGUGGCGCUUAGGAAACCCGUAUACCAUAGGGGCGUUUGCCCGUU
RNAcentral lists this microRNA precursor (101 nucleotides) under Sphaeroforma napiecek. Its description in RNAcentral is "Sna-Mir-Nov-5_pre". Lineage: Eukaryota; Ichthyosporea; Ichthyophonida. The record is from RNAcentral.